Molecule: non-coding RNA, 47 nt
Organism: Trichobilharzia regenti
Lineage: Eukaryota; Metazoa; Platyhelminthes; Trematoda; Strigeidida; Schistosomatidae
Source: Rfam
GUCCUGCUGAAGAGUCCCAAAACUAGGACGAAACAGCUGUCCUGUAC